Molecule: ribosomal RNA, 450 nt
Filed under: uncultured bacterium
Lineage: Bacteria
Description: partial 16S ribosomal RNA
Rfam family: Bacterial small subunit ribosomal RNA
Source: RNAcentral
GUGGGGAAUCUUCCGCAAUGGACGAAAGUCUGACGGAGCAACGCCGCGUGAGUGAUGAAGGUCUUCGGAUUGUAAAGCUCUGUUAAUCGGGACGAAAGAGCCUAGUGUGAAUAAUGCUAGGAAGUGACGGUACCGGAAUAGAAAGCCACGGCUAACUACGUGCCAGCAGCCGCGGUAAUACGUAGGUGGCAAGCGUUGUCCGGAAUUAUUGGGCGUAAAGCGCGCGCAGGCGGAUCUGCCAGUCUGUCUUAAAAGUUCGGGGCUUAACCCCGUGAUUGGAUAGAAACUACAGAUCUAGAGUAUCGGAGAGGAAAGUGGAAUUCCUAGUGUAGCGGUGAAAUGCGUAGAUAUUAGGAAGAACACCAGUGGCGAAGGCGACUUUCUGGACGAAAACUGACGCUGAGGCGCGAAAGCCAGGGGAGCGAACGGGAUUAGAAACCCCUGUAGUCC